AUGAACGCUGGCGGCGUGCCUAAUACAUGCAAGUCGAGCGAACAGACGAGGAGCUUGCUCCUCUGACGUUAGCGGCGGACGGGUGAGUAACACGUGGAUAACCUACCUAUAAGACUGGGAUAACUUCGGGAAACCGGAGCUAAUACCGGAUAAUAUAUUGAACCGCAUGGUUCAAUAGUGAAAGACGGUUUUGCUGUCACUUAUAGAUGGAUCCGCGCCGCAUUAGCUAGUUGGUAAGGUAACGGCUUACCAAGGCAACGAUGCGUAGCCGACCUGAGAGGGUGAUCGGCCACACUGGAACUGAGACACGGUCCAGACCCCUACGGGAGGCAGCAGUAGGGAAUCUUCCGCAAUGGGCGAAAGCCUGACGGAGCAACGCCGCGUGAGUGAUGAAGGUCUUCGGAUCGUAAAACUCUGUUAUUAGGGAAGAACAAAUGUGUAAGUAACUAUGCACGUCUUGACGGUACCUAAUCAGAAAGCCACGGCUAACUACGUG
Molecule: ribosomal RNA, 496 nt
Filed under: uncultured bacterium
Lineage: Bacteria
Description: partial 16S ribosomal RNA
Rfam family: Bacterial small subunit ribosomal RNA
Source: RNAcentral